GGAAGGGAUAUGAUGGCACUAUGCACGAACUGUAGGUUACCACAGCAACGCUCCGAGCCACAUUCCCUCAUUCUGCACAAAGCCACUGGACCACUAGGGAGUGUAAUGUCCCUCUCCAAGUCUUCAGGUAAAAGGGUGCAUGCAUGAGUGUAUAUGAAUGUGAAAUAUCUUUUGGAUUAAUUUAAAUAAAUAUCAUAAAAAGGGAUGGAGCAUAUGUGAUGUCAUGACGUGUGGAUCAUAUGGGUAGGACAUUGUGAUGUCACAGUAUGUGGGUGCAACAAAUUAUUUUAUUACCUUGGUAGGAAAAAAAAAUCCUUGUACUGCCCCUGAGAGAUGGUCUGCAGUUAGGGGGAAUCCUGCAUAGGAUGUUGUAUGUUAACUCGUUUCUUGCAAACUCUUGCUUACGUAGCUUUCCAAAUAGUAAGGCGGAGGCUAGCCUGUUUUGUCCAAUCACACAAAAGAGCUACUGUAGCACAAAUUGCGGAAAAAAAACAAUACUGACCACCAUAUAAAGGUGUCCGAACCCACAGUGCAUUCUAGUUGGCUGUGUCAGAAC
Pelobates cultripes (western spadefoot toad) is the source of this 556-nucleotide non-coding RNA. The record is from the annotation of a GenBank genome assembly. Lineage: Eukaryota; Metazoa; Chordata; Amphibia; Anura; Pelobatidae.